Long non-coding RNA from Bubalus bubalis (water buffalo), 3023 nucleotides. RefSeq lists it as uncharacterized. The transcript has 2 exons. The record is from RefSeq and is a predicted model, not a curated record. NCBI's taxonomy places the organism in Eukaryota, Metazoa, Chordata, Mammalia, Artiodactyla, Bovidae.
GGUGAAUUCUUUUAUGACACCAUGUGAGGGCAAGGAGCUGUACCCCUGGAGUGGAGCCUGGCAUAGGCACUCCCAGACAUCAGAUGGCAAGCAAAACCAUCCUGGCUCUGUUCUGGAAGAGCAUCUCCUUCCUUUUUCAAGAGGCGGGGGGUGGGGUGGGGGGAGGCGGGGAGGGGGAUGAGAAAGGACCACAGCCAGCUUUUCUUACUAAUGAGGCCUAAACCAGGCCAGCGUGGGAACAACUUGGCGGAUCCGAGAGGCAGCUUGGAGAACUGGGAAAAGCUCUGGCCUGGGAAGGGAGAGCUGCAAUCCCAGCUCCCCACCCCGCACCCCCCACGCCGUGUGGCCUUGAAGUGAGUCACGGCCUCUCAAGUGACACGGCUCUUAUCUCCGAAAGAAGGAGGUGAGAUGUGAGGUCUCUCAGACCCUUUUCCAGCUCUGAGAUUCUCUAGUGUUGCAGCCAUCUCUUUAAAGAUGAGAAGCAGAGAUGCUGAGCUGAAACAGAUGUGGAGGAUAAAGCCAAGAUAAUCAGCCCAGUGGUUUCUCUCUCUCUAGUGCCCUGCGUCAGCAAGGGCCUGGGUGAAUUCUGGCAUUUCUUCCUUGCGAUAGGUAAUCGAGGCAACAUCUGAGGGCCCGAACUUCCGGAGGAGAGGCUGAUCAGUCAGUUUUUUGCCCUCAACCCUUCGUCUCUCCUAACCAGCCUGUAUGUGUGAUGUGGCCUUUCUGAGUCCACCAGCCUGUGUGUGUGACGUGGACAUUCUGGGUCCAGUGCGGCUCCCGGGCUGACUUCCGGCAUGGACGGUUUCCUGAGCAUGAUUACUUUGCUGACAGCCCUUCUUCCUCCUGUCCUUCCUACAGUCAGCUGGAGUGUGGGGACGCCCAUCCCCUCAAGAAGUAUUCUUUAUGUGUCUCCCCAGUGCCUGGCUUCGAAAUCAAAGGGAUCUGGGCCACAUGCGUUAGACGGAAUUCCCAUGAGUCUCCAGAGUGUGAGAUACGACCAGGCUUCCUGGCCCCCGAGGGGCUCACCAGGCAGUCAGAGAGUUCAGAAGGUGACCCAGGAUCCACCGGGCAAAGUGACAGGCGGGCCACAAGGGCUCUGGGUGGCUGGCAGGAGUUAAGGCCUCAGACACACGUGACAACUUUAACCAGCCCGCCGCAGCCCUAAAGGGUUAGAUUUCAUUUUAAAGGAACCGCCUGCCCAUUUCCAUCCUGCACCUGGUUUGUCUCCCUCCUCACCUGAUCCCAUUCUGUAAUUACACGCUCACACGUUUCUUCUCUCAACCUGCCUCUAGAAAGCAACUGGAGAGGGGAGGGCUGCGGCCGCCUUCUCCACCACCUUAACGCGCGCGCCGAGGCCUGUGAGCAGUGGCUUAGUGCCCUUCGCCGGAGCCCGGGGCGCGGAGCAUCCGGGCCUGGAACGCGGACGUGCGUGGGAGGGACGUGAACUGUGGCUGCAGCCCUGCGGAAAAGAAUCGGUCUUUGUCCUCAUGUUCGCGUGCACCUGUCGUCCCAAGCCCUUGACAAACACUGUGUCAUUCACCUUGCCAACCUGGGGGCGGGGCGGGGCGGGGGCACGCGGGAGCCCAGGGAGCCGCAUUCCGCGCAUUCCAGCCCCCUGACAGCUCCUGGUACCGCGGCUGUGAGCCCGGGGUGUCCAAAAAUUCCAGCUGACUCAUCCGUGGGUGAGCGAGGCCAACGCGAGGGGACGGGUGGAAUCUCCUGGGGUCUGCCUCCGACCAGGCCCCCCCAGUUCAGAAGGGAAAGUGGGGCGGGGGUGGGAAGGGGCGAUGGCCCGGAUUCAAGCUUUUUUUUUUGGCUUAAGGGAUGCUCAGGUAUCCCUCGAGGCGCCAGGAAAUAGUGAAACAGGUGCAGCGCGACGUCGUGGCCGGGAACUUGGGCCGGGACCUCGGCUACCUCAGCAUUUGAGUUCUGGCUCCAUCGUUAUCAUUUUGGAAGACCUCAUGAAACCUCUCUGGGUCUCAGCGUCCUGGAGUGGGAAUGCGGUGGGAGAGGGAAGGCAGUACUGGUUCCACCUCCACCAAGCGGUGGUGAAGAUGAAGCAAGAAUGUGGGUAAGACGCUGAUCACAGUCCGGGACAGAAUUGCUUAACAAUGGUGACUUGUGCUAGGACUCCCCCCCACCCCCACCCCUUCGAGGCAAUGACGUGAGACUGUUCGCAGGCGGGCGGGCAAGUGUGUAAUGGGGCCCCGCUUGGCCCUUCAGGACAAAGGCUGCAAGACAGGUAGGGAGAAUGUCCCUGCCUGGCCUGGGAUCGUGGGUAGAGCCACCACUCUCUGACUCUCCCCAGUCCCCGCGGAGCUUCCAGGAGCAGAGGGCUGUGCACAUGCUCAGGAAUGAGCGCACACUGGCCCCGCAGAGGCUUUUCUGGUACUCACAUCGGCCUCCAGAUGCCUUCUCACCAGAUCCUGCCAAAUUCCUCUUACCUCCGCCCCCCAGGACUUGUCUGACGCCAGAGCAUUUCUCAAAAGGGGGAAACAGUCCCAUCGUCACCACCUCAUCACCACACCAUUACAGCCCUGGCGCGCCCUGCCUUCCAGCUGUCUUCCCCAGGGAUAUCUCUGAAGGUUUUUCCCCAGCUCCUUCCGGGGGUUGCCGGGGAGAGUGAAGUCCGGGAAUGAGAAUGGGUCGCAGGACGAGACCUUGGGCCAGUCCCUGGCCCUUUCCACUUUUCCCAUCGUCUGUGAAACAAGAAGGCUGGCUGAGGUCAUCCAUUUCCGGCGGCUCAGUCCCAGGGUUUCCUGGCUCCUGUGGGCGGCAGAGAGCCGGCCAGAUGAACACUUGUUCCUCUUUGGCAGGAGAGCACGGAGGUUAGGCGACAAGUGGCUCUGGGUUUGAAUCCUCACCUGUCCCCUCGCCAGCUACGUGAUCUUUGGCAAGGCGGACACCCUCUCUGAGCAGUUAUCCUACCUGUAAAAUUGGCAUACUAAUAACCACCAGAUGAUGCGAGUGUAGAACACAGCAAGGUGCCUGGCACUCAUGAUAUUACAAUUUUUUUCCCCAGA